UUCCUACGGGGGGCAGCAGUGAGGAAUAUUGGUCAAUGGUCGGGAGACUGGACCAGCCAAGCCGCGUGAGGGAUGAAGGUACAGAGUAUCGUAAACCUCUUUUGUCAGGGAACAAAGGCGGGGACGCGUCCCCGGAUGAGUGUACCUGAAGAAAAAGCAUCGGCUAACUCCGUGCCAGCAGCCGCGGUAAUACGGAGGAUGCGAGCGUUAUCCGGAUUUAUUGGGUUUAAAGGGUGGGCAGGCGGUUUGUUAAGUUAGCGGUCAAAGCCUGGGGCUGAACCACGGACAGGUGUUGAAAAUGGGAG
This 305-nucleotide ribosomal RNA is filed under the name uncultured bacterium. Its description in RNAcentral is "bacterial SSU rRNA". It matches the Rfam family "Bacterial small subunit ribosomal RNA", at positions 336 to 639 of the family's 1533-position model. The record is from RNAcentral.